Molecule: unclassified non-coding RNA, 973 nt
Filed under: Bombus terrestris (buff-tailed bumblebee)
Lineage: Eukaryota; Metazoa; Arthropoda; Insecta; Hymenoptera; Apidae
Description: misc RNA ENSBTSG00005032271.1
Source: RNAcentral
UUUCUCUUUCUUCCUGUUAGCAUUACGUAAUCAUUAAUUUUUCCUUCUAAUCGUAGUGCUGUUUUGCUAAUCAUUUACUUACAGUUUCACCGAAAUAUCUGCCAUCGCUCUCUAUCGCUUUCCAAGCUCCCCUCAAAGCAAACUCUUGGAAAGUCCGAUUUAUCAACAGGGGCUAUCAUCGAUUCUCCUUUUCACUCUUCAGUCUCGCAAACAACGAACCUUCCCAUCUAAUUUUUCUUCGCUGUGUUCGUUCAAAAACUUCGGUUCAGCAUACACGACUCAAAAAACCGUCCCGUGCAAUGUUCAACUUCCUUUCAUUCAAAAAUAUCUUCUUAUCGUCUCUUUGCUCUGCACUGCGACCGCCGUGGAAUCGGAAACAGAGGUUUCUCUCCGUUCAAACUUUCAUCAUCUUCUUUCGCUUCGUCUUCAAAAAAUCCACUAGACGCUUGGAAAAAAUCUUCUUUUUUUUUCUUCGCUCAUCUCCGUCGAGGUUAGAGAACAGUUUCUCUCGACCAUCCUCUCGAUCAACUCAAGCUUCCACGUUUCUUCUCGAUUUCUCUUCUGUGUCCUCCUCUGUUUUACUUCGACAAUUUGUUAGUCAGCUUCGCUCCGGAUGCAUGAGAUUGUACAUGAUCGCGAAGAUCGUGCAGGCCGCGUAUACGCCGAGGGCCACCCACCAGAGAAGCUGUUCGUGGAGCCGCUGCUCGAAGUUCUUCAGCACCAACAAACCGAUCGUCAGACCCGCCAAUGCACCCGUCAGAUGCGCCACGUAGGAAACUGGCGGGCCUAUUUGCUCGGCUGCGUAUCUGUCGUAGAUCGCGAACCCCACGUCUGCACUCGCUGAAAAUGAAAAUCGUUUCGUUUUACGUUUCUUCUACUUACAGGUCUAUCGAGCUAAUUGCUUACAUAGGAGGAAGACGAGUCGAGUUGUCAGUGGAUUAUCAAGUUGUCGGGGUUAGGUAUCCGCUAAUUU